This 107-nucleotide microRNA precursor is filed under the name Olea europaea subsp. europaea. The record is from RNAcentral. Lineage: Eukaryota; Viridiplantae; Streptophyta; Magnoliopsida; Lamiales; Oleaceae.
GUGAAACCUAGAGUUCCCCCAAACACUUCAGUAUGGCUAUCGGUACCCAAAGCGGGAAAGAAACUCUUAUAGCCUCUGAAGUGUAUUGAGGGAACUCCAGAUCAAAC